This 253-nucleotide ribosomal RNA is filed under the name uncultured bacterium. RNAcentral's name for it is "partial 16S ribosomal RNA". It matches the Rfam family "Bacterial small subunit ribosomal RNA", at positions 524 to 776 of the family's 1533-position model. The record is from RNAcentral.
UACGUAGGGUGCAAGCGUUGUCCGGAAUUAUUGGGCGUAAAGAGCUUGUAGGCGGUUUGUCGCGUCUGCUGUGAAAUUUCGGGGCUCAACCCCGAACUUGCAGUGGGUACGGGCGGACUAGAGUGUGGUAGGGGAGACUGGAAUUCCUGGUGUAGCGGUGAAAUGCGCAGAUAUCAGGAGGAACACCGAUGGCGAAGGCAGGUCUCUGGGCCACUACUGACGCUGAGAAGCGAAAGCAUGUGGAGCGAACAGG